GUUGAUGUAGUUUAAUAUUUAAAGUGAGGCACUGUAAAUGCCUAGAUGGAUUGACUAGCUCCAUAAACA
RNAcentral lists this transfer RNA (69 nucleotides) under Sus scrofa (pig). It matches the Rfam family "tRNA". From Rfam's summary of the family: Transfer RNA (tRNA) molecules are approximately 80 nucleotides in length. Their secondary structure includes four short double-helical elements and three loops (D, anti-codon, and T loops). Further hydrogen bonds mediate the characteristic L-shaped molecular structure. tRNAs have two regions of fundamental functional importance: the anti-codon, which is responsible for specific mRNA codon recognition, and the 3' end, to which the tRNAs corresponding amino acid is attached (by aminoacyl-tRNA synthetases). tRNAs cope with the degeneracy of the genetic code in two manners: having more than one tRNA (with a specific anti-codon) for a particular amino acid; and 'wobble' base-pairing, i.e. permitting non-standard base-pairing at the 3rd anti-codon position. The record is from Rfam by way of RNAcentral. Lineage: Eukaryota; Metazoa; Chordata; Mammalia; Artiodactyla; Suidae.